GUUUUCGAAAGCUUCCAUACCAUCAGUUGAAGGACAAUGCUCCUACACAGGCAAGGAACUACCUGCCCAAAUCAACCUUGUUAUUUGUCCUCCGGGCUGCCUUGCGCAGAAGGAUAAUGUCUGGGGAUCUGAACCUUAUACAGAGGAGUCUUCAGUAUGUGCAGCUGGCAUCCACAGUGGGCAAAUUACCAACAAAGGAGGCAAUCUGGUAACCCAGAAGACGGAAAGGAAAGGACAAAUAUGGAUCUUCUACAAGAAAUGGAAUAAAAACAAAACUUUCUGGUCCAUCAUCUGGAUCAUUUGUGUUCAUCUCCUUAGCUGAAUUCAAGAGAACUCAUUAUACCCAGACAUCUUACCAGAUACCACAGAC
This is a long non-coding RNA of Bufo gargarizans (Asiatic toad), 370 nucleotides long. RefSeq lists it as uncharacterized. The record is from RefSeq and is a predicted model, not a curated record. Lineage: Eukaryota; Metazoa; Chordata; Amphibia; Anura; Bufonidae. The transcript has 4 exons.